GAUAAUUUGCUUGUGGCAGCCAAGUGUUCAUAGUGGCAUUGCUUUUUGAUCUUUCAACAUCAACUCUUCCUAUCAUUGUGAAGCAAAAUUCACGAAGUGCUGAAUUGUUCACCCACCGAUAGGGAAUAUGAGCUGUGCCGCAAUAGUAAUUUAACUG
RNAcentral lists this non-coding RNA (157 nucleotides) under Selaginella moellendorffii. RNAcentral describes it as "rRNA LSU_rRNA_eukarya". It matches the Rfam family "Eukaryotic large subunit ribosomal RNA", at positions 2825 to 2992 of the family's 3401-position model. The record is from Rfam by way of RNAcentral. Lineage: Eukaryota; Viridiplantae; Streptophyta; Lycopodiopsida; Selaginellales; Selaginellaceae.